CGCGCGCGCGGCCUCUAUCGGCCCUUCCGGCCCGGCGCGGGGACAGGAUGUCUCACCGCAAGUUCUCAGCUCCGAGGCAUGGGUCUCUGGGCUUCCUGCCCCGCAAGCGCAGUAGCAGGCACAGGGGCAAGGUGAAGAGCUUUCCCAAAGAUGACCCCAGCAAGCCUGUCCAUCUCACUGCCUUCUUGGGGUACAAAGCUGGUAUGACCCACAUUGUCCGUGAAGUCGACAGACCUGGAUCCAAGGUGAACAAAAAGGAGGUGGUCGAGGCAGUCACUAUAGUAGAGACUCCUCCCAUGGUCAUUGUGGGCAUUGUGGGAUACGUGCAGACUCCUCGUGGUCUCCGUAGCUUCAAGACCAUCUUUGCUGAGCACAUCAGUGAUGAGUGUAAGCGUCGCUUCUACAAGAACUGGCACAAGUCCAAGAAGAAGGCCUUCACCAAAUAUUGCAAGAAAUGGCAAGAUGAGGAGGGCAAAAAGCAGCUGGAGAAAGAUUUCAAUAGCAUGAAGAAAUACUGCCAGGUUAUUAGAGUCAUGGCUCACACUCAGAUGCGUUUGCUUCCCCUGAGGCAGAAGAAGUCUCACCUAAUGGAGAUCCAGGUGAAUGGUGGCACUGUUGCUGAGAAAGUGGAUUGGGCCCGGGAGAAGCUGGAACAGCAGGUGCCUGUGUCAACUGUGUUUGGCCAGGAUGAGAUGAUAGAUGUCAUCGGAGUCACCAAGGGCAAGGGUUAUAAAGGUGUUACCAGCCGUUGGCACACCAAAAAGCUGCCCCGCAAGACUCACAGGGGUCUGCGCAAAGUGGCCUGCAUUGGUGCAUGGCACCCUGCUCGUGUGGCUUUCUCUGUGGCCCGGGCUGGUCAGAAGGGGUAUCACCAUCGGACUGAAAUCAAUAAGAAGAUCUACAAGAUCGGCCAGGGUUACCAAAUCAAGGAUGGAAAGCUGAUCAAAAACAAUGCAUCGACUGAUUAUGACUUGUCUGACAAGAGCAUCAACCCUCUGGUGAGUUGUUGGCAGCUCUAUGGAGAGACUCUGCUUGUGAGCUGCGAUCCUAAGAGGCAAAUGGGCCUGGUGGAGGCUUUGUCCACUACGGUGAGGUGACCAAUGACUUCAUCAUGCUGAAGGGCUGUGUUGUUGGGACCAAGAAGAGGGUCCUAACCCUGCGCAAGUCCCUGCUUGUGCAGACCAAGCGCCGGGCCCUGGAGAAGAUUGACUUGAAGUUCAUUGACACAACCUCCAAAUUUGGUCAUGGCCGCUUCCAGACAGCUGAGGAGAAGAAGUCUUUCAUGGGACCACUCAAGAAAGAUCGUACUGCAAAAGAGGAGACAGCUUAAUGUGUGGAACGGUCUUGUGUCCUGUGUGUGCUCAGACCAAAAAAUAAAUAUUUUAAAGAAAUGAA
Haliaeetus leucocephalus (bald eagle) is the source of this 1395-nucleotide RNA transcript. It is a transcript of the gene named ribosomal protein L3, with no coding region annotated. Lineage: Eukaryota; Metazoa; Chordata; Aves; Accipitriformes; Accipitridae. The record is from RefSeq and is a predicted model, not a curated record. The transcript has 10 exons.